Bufo bufo (common toad) is the source of this 140-nucleotide long non-coding RNA. RefSeq lists it as uncharacterized. Lineage: Eukaryota; Metazoa; Chordata; Amphibia; Anura; Bufonidae. The record is from RefSeq and is a predicted model, not a curated record. The transcript is spliced from 3 exons.
AGAAAAAAGUAGGCCAUAUUGUAACAAAAAUCCAACCACGGCCACCUGACCAAAAACUCCUUUUAGGGGUCCUAUCUAUAUGUUAAAACUUUAACCUUUAUUAUUUACUUUUAAAACGAAAAUACUUAGAGAAACCAAUA